This 208-nucleotide ribosomal RNA is filed under the name uncultured bacterium. RNAcentral's name for it is "partial 16S ribosomal RNA". It matches the Rfam family "Bacterial small subunit ribosomal RNA", at positions 568 to 774 of the family's 1533-position model. The record is from RNAcentral.
CGCGUAGGCGGUCAGUGCAAGUCAGUUGUGAAAUCUCCGGGCUUAACUCGGAACGGUCAACUGAUACUGCGCGACUAGAGUGCGGAAGGGGCAACUGGAAUUCUCGGUGUAGCGGUGAAAUGCGUAGAUAUCGAGAGGAACACCUGCGGCGAAGGCGGGUUGCUGGGCCGACACUGACGCUGAUGCGCGAAAGCCAGGGGAGCGAACG